Engraulis encrasicolus (European anchovy) is the source of this 314-nucleotide long non-coding RNA. RefSeq lists it as uncharacterized. The transcript has 3 exons. Lineage: Eukaryota; Metazoa; Chordata; Actinopteri; Clupeiformes; Engraulidae. The record is from RefSeq and is a predicted model, not a curated record.
CCCCGGAGUUGAACUAGCAGGACACCUGCGGGCAGCCCAUCAAGCUCAGCACCCAGGCCCUAUAAGCCUGCUGCCCAGCCAAGAGAAAGAGCCAGCCAGCCUCCAUCGUUCCUCACUGCGUGGUCUCCAGCUUGGCAUGGCCACCACGGUGGAGGUCUCCCUGACCAUGCAGCUGGUCAUCUGCAUCUCCUCUGUGAUGGAUGGCAGGAAGAAUUGAUGCAUGGAUCCCAUGACCAUUGGCUUCUGUCACCAUGGCACACCCCAUGAGGAUGUUCCACACCGGAGCUGAAAUGAACCCUGACAGAUCCUUCACC